RNAcentral lists this ribosomal RNA (326 nucleotides) under uncultured eukaryote. RNAcentral describes it as "partial 18S ribosomal RNA". It matches the Rfam family "Eukaryotic small subunit ribosomal RNA", at positions 1470 to 1796 of the family's 1831-position model. The record is from RNAcentral.
CCCUUAGAUGUUCUGGGCUGCACGCGCGCUACACUGAUGCACUCAACGAGUUUACGACCUUGCCCGAUAGGGUUGGGUAAUCUUUUUAAAAUGCAUCGUGAUGGGGAUAGAUUAUUGCAAUUAUUAGUCUUCAACGAGGAAUUCCUAGUAAGCGCGAGUCAUCAGCUCGUGCUGAUUACGUCCCUGCCCUUUGUACACACCGCCCGUCGCCCUUACCGAUUGAGUGCUCAGGUGAAUAAUUCGGACUGCAGCAAUGUUUGGAUCCCGAACGUUGCAGCGGAAAGUUUAGUGAACCUUAUCACUUAGAGGAAGGAGAAGUCGUAACA